RNAcentral lists this ribosomal RNA (505 nucleotides) under uncultured bacterium. RNAcentral describes it as "partial 16S ribosomal RNA". It matches the Rfam family "Bacterial small subunit ribosomal RNA", at positions 28 to 507 of the family's 1533-position model. The record is from RNAcentral.
GACGAACGCUGGCGGCGUGCCUAAUACAUGCAAGUAGAACGCACAGUUUAUACCGUAGCUUGCUACACCAUAGACUCUGAGUUGUGAACGGGUGAGUAACGCGCAGGUAACCUGCCUGGUAGCGGGGGAUAACUAUUGGAAACGCUAGCUAAUACCGCAUAAUAUUAAUUAUUGCUUGAUAAUUAAUUGAAAGGUGCAAUUGCACCACUACCAGAUGGACCUGCGUUGUAUUAGCUAGUAGGGGAGGUAACGGCACACCUAGGCGACGAUACAUAGCCGACCUGGGAGGGUGAGCGGCCACGCUGGGACUGAGACACGGCCCAGAAUCCUGCGGGAGGCAGCAGUAGGGGAUCUUCGGCAAUGGACGAAAGUCUGACCGAGGAACGCCGGGUGAGUGAAGGAGGUUUUCGGGUCGUAAAGCUCUGUUAUAAGGGAAGAACGGGUGUGAGAGUGGAAAGUUCACACUGUGACGGUAUCUUACCAGAAAGGGACGGCUAACUACGUG